AUAUUGGAUGGACAAAGUGAAGAGU
This 25-nucleotide non-coding RNA is filed under the name Cricetulus griseus (Chinese hamster). The record is from RNAcentral. Lineage: Eukaryota; Metazoa; Chordata; Mammalia; Rodentia; Cricetidae.